RNAcentral lists this ribosomal RNA (775 nucleotides) under Enchylium polycarpon. Its description in RNAcentral is "SSU rRNA". It matches the Rfam family "Bacterial small subunit ribosomal RNA", at positions 349 to 1186 of the family's 1533-position model. Lineage: Eukaryota; Fungi; Ascomycota; Lecanoromycetes; Peltigerales; Collemataceae. The record is from RNAcentral.
CAGCAGUGAGGAAUAUUGGUCAAUAGCCUAACGGCUGAACCAGCAACUUGGAGGAAUGUAUAGCUAAAGCUAAAUGUAUUUUGUAUAAUACAGAUUCGAUUUAUUCGUAUAAAGUUCUAGAUAGAAUUAUGAUAAUGACAUUGUCUAUCUAUAAGUCUUGACCAAAUUACGUGCCAGCAGUCGCGGUAAGACGUAAAAGACUAGUGUUAUUCAUCUUUAAUAGGUUUAAAGCGUACCUAGACGGUAAAUCAAGCCUUAACCGGGACUAAUUUAACUAGAGUUAGAUGUAAGGGUGCAUAAACGUACUGUUGAGUGUAGAGAUGAAAUUCUUUUAUACCAGAUUAUUGGCACGGGUUUAGGCGAAAGCAUCACCUUAUGUAAUAACUGACGUUGAGGGACGAAGGCUUUGUGUCGCGAACAGGAUUAGAUACCCCAGUAGUCUAAGCAGAAAAUGAUGAGUGUCAUAGGUUAAAUAUUCUUAUUUGGUCUAUAAAUGAAAGUGUAAGCAUUCCACCUCAAGAGUAAUUUGGCAACAUUGGAAUUGAAAUCAUUAGACCGUUUCUGAAACCAGUAGUGAAGUAUGUUGUUUAAUUAGAUAAUCCACAAAGAACCUUACCACAAUUUGAAUAUUUUACAAGUGUUGCACGGCUGUCUUCAGUUAAUGUCGUGAGAUUAGAGAGAGAUCCAUUAAAUUAACGUAAACCCUUAUCUCACUCUAUAAAAGAGUAGAGAGUUGUUUCGCCUCUAGAUUGGUUAGAUAAAAAGGGACUAAGAC